CCUACGGGCGGCAGCAGUGGGGGAUAUUGCACAAUGGGGGGAACCCUGAUGCAGCGACGCCGCGUGGGUGAAGGAGUGCUUCGGCAUGUAAAGCUCUAUCGGCAGGGAAGAAGCAAGACGGUACCUGACUAAGAAGCCCCGGCUAACUACGGGCCAGCAGCCGCGGUAAUACGUAGGGGGCGAGCGUUAUCCGGAUUCACUGGGUGUAAAGGGAGCGUAGACGGGCAUGCAAGCCAGGGGUGAAAGCCCGGGGCCCAACCCCGGUACUGCACUUGGAACUGGGCGGCUAGAGUGCGGGAGGGGCAGGCGGAAUUCCUGGUGUAGCGGUGAAAUGCGUAGAUAUCAGGAGGAACACCGGCGGCGAAGGCGGCCUGCUGGACUGCGACUGACGUUGAGGCUCGAAAGCGUGGGGAGCGAACAGGAUUAGAUACCCUUGUAGUC
RNAcentral lists this ribosomal RNA (441 nucleotides) under uncultured bacterium. RNAcentral describes it as "partial 16S ribosomal RNA". It matches the Rfam family "Bacterial small subunit ribosomal RNA", at positions 338 to 795 of the family's 1533-position model. The record is from RNAcentral.